GGUUCCGGCCCGCGCCUCUCCCUCCACACCUCCCCACAAGCUGAGGGAGCCGGCUGCGGCCUUCGCCAGCCCAGAAAGGGGCUCCUACAGUGCAGUGGCGGGCUGAAGGGCUGCUCAAGCGCCGCCAAAGUGGGAGCCCAGGCAGAGGAGGCGCCCAGAGCGAGCGAGGGCUGUGAGGACUGCCAGCACGCUGUCACCUCUCACUCAUAUAGAUUGCCAAUCUAUUUGUGAACCAGGUUUGCUGGAGUUUGGAUUUACUACUGAGUCAUAUUUGGAGCAUGCUGGAAUCUUACAACUGAGAUUACCGAGUCAGAAACUUGCAAACAUGAGUAACAUGGCCCUGCUCUGGAGACUACUGGGAACACAAACACAGCCAUUUAAGACAUCUACCUGCUUCUCCUUUGCCUUCCAUCAUGACUGAAAGUUGUCUGAGGUCUCCCAGCCACGUGUCCUGUACAGCCUGUGGAACUACUUUAAAGAAGAAUCAGAAAAUGGAGACUGGGAUUGGAAGCAGAGAUCCGAUGGCCAAAUUACAGUCUGCCACUGAAGCUAACACACCUAUGGAUAACCCAACCUGUAAACUCAAUGUGGAACACAGUUUGAGAAAAGAAGUGAGAAGAUUCAAUUUUGAAGUUGGAUCACUCUCCUACAGGCAAUGAAGACCACAUCACUGAUGGCUCUCCUGCAAUUCUAUUACCUGUUUGAAUGUGAAGAUGGGAUGAAGUAGCAAGAAGGACCUCACAAAAUACCUCCCCCACCACCCCAUCAUCUUGCACUUUCCAGUCUGCAGAACUCCUUGUUCCCUGGCAACAAAUCCCAGAGUAGGGGAUGGUGGAAGAAAAAGCACCUUUAUUUUCCCCCAAGAAAUAACAGUUGAAUUCAGUGAAGGCUGUUUUUCCUUUCCCAAAAUAACACCAGAAGCAACUAUUCUGAAGAUCCUUUUAACAGGCAAUGAAUAUGCUUCAUGAAGGCACUUUGAUCCCCAGAGAGUCCUGUCUGAGUUGAAUUUCUUGGAACACAAAGGCACGGAUUCUGCCCUCAAGUCGGUCAGGAUGCAUGAAGAAAGCACGGAUGACAUGGCACUGUGGUGACUGUGACAGACACAAAAUACCAAGAAACUGAGUGUGGAGACACCACCCAGAGAGAGGACAAACUCUGUCCUGGUGGGGCAGAACCAGGUUCUCAGGAGCAUUGACAUCUGAGUUUGUACUUUGUUUGAAGAUGGAGAGAAGUUAGUUGUCUGAUUGGAGGGUGUGGAAAAAGGGUUUGCCUGGAUGAGGGUGACAUAUGUGGAAAGGUGAGCAGUGAUGAGCUCUUGCAGAUUCUUAGGGGCAAGUGAAGAAAAGUCUAGUUCGAAUGGGAGCAGAGUCAGUGCUGGUGAGGGGCUUUUUAAUGUUUUUAUUAUAUGGUUGUUUUCUAUACAUCUUUUAUUUCCAUUUAUUUGAGAUUUUAGCUACUUAAAAAGCCUCUUCCUAAUUUCAAUAGAUUUUCUAAUCUUUCUGGUGAUGUAGCUUUGGUAUUUGAUAGCCCAGACAUAAUCAGAAAUGUAUUUGGUUCUGAGCACUGUUGAUUUUAAACUCCAAUUUGCAUUUUUAUUUAAUUAUAUUUGAUGGCUAUGCCUUCCUUUUUAUAUUGCUGCAUUGCUAUCCAAGCCAAUACUCACCCCUUUCCUGAAUACCUUGGAAUCCAAGUGUAACCUCUAACAGAAAUAAAGAACUUUGGACAAAGCAA
Molecule: long non-coding RNA, 1731 nt
Organism: Homo sapiens (human)
Lineage: Eukaryota; Metazoa; Chordata; Mammalia; Primates; Hominidae
Product: long intergenic non-protein coding RNA 2055
Source: Ensembl